Molecule: long non-coding RNA, 2136 nt
Organism: Mustela lutreola (European mink)
Lineage: Eukaryota; Metazoa; Chordata; Mammalia; Carnivora; Mustelidae
Exons: 2
Source: RefSeq, a predicted model, not a curated record
AAACAGGAAGCUGACAUGUCACGGAGCACGGCGAGCCUGUGAGCGGCUGGGCCUCUACCUUGGACCCCCAAAGGCCAGGAGACUCUUAUGCAUCCCUCAAAGCCCAAUUCAAAAGGUGCCUCUUCCAGUUUAAACACUGGACGUCCUCUGUCCAAUUGAGAUCCUAAGGUCAAAAAGAACUGCCAAUAAAUCUUGACCUCUCGUUAGUAGGUUUGUCACAGGAUGUGGUAUCAGUGUAACAAUUCUGCAACAACUGUGUAUUACGGGAAAGAGCAUCAGUGGAUAAAUGCGGUGGCAUUGCUCCAAACCCUGGUUCUUUCUGGGAAAGAAAGGAGACACAAACCGGGAAAGGCAAAGCAAGGAAGAGCCCCGUGGCGUUGGAUGGGAACUGGAUGGCUCAAUGUGAAAGCAUGCUGUUUUCGGUUUGUUUUUGGUUUUUUUUCUGUAAAGGAGUUUUUCCUCCUUUGUUUAUAUCAAUGUGGUUACAUUUGGCCUUCCUGUUUUCGUCAAUGGGUUCGAAUCCAUUACUACGAUGAUUGAUGUGGGAUGCUCAAACCGUCCCGGAUUUGGCCCAUGGGACCCUUUUCAAGCUGCCUCCUUGUCCUUCUGCCAAGUGCCCAUCAUUCUCUGGGCACUUCCUUUGACCAGUAUGUUCCAGGCCCGUUGAAGCCUUUUCCUGCGUCAGCCUAGAAUCAGCUGCUUUGGAGAGGAUCCUAACACCAGGAUCGAGCUGGUGUUAGCUGAGAGUAUUAAUGCUUCUAGACACACGAGAGAGAAACACAGAGCUAGGGGGUAGAAACACACACGGACACAUGCACACACAUACAUACACACACACAUACACAUACACACUCAUGUAUAAAUAUACUCCUGUAUGAACUCAUUACAUACAUCGAUAUGAAAGAGCUCAUUCUAGAUGAGUCUCAAGAAAUAUAUUUACUUGUGGACAGAGUAUGUCCAUAUUUCUACGUUCAGGUCUCUGUGUGUCUGUCUAGUUCCAGAUAAUAGAUUAAAAACCAUGAACUCAAACAGAUAUGAAUCAGUGAGCGCGGGGGAGCGUCGAAGCCUGUCCUUUGCCCUCCACAGCUUUGUGGAAGGCUGGAAAUUUUCUAUGUAGAAAGUGGAUAGGCUCUAUGUGAACUAUGUGAGCAAACUAUAUUUAGCUCAAAAUAAAAGGUUUAUGUAAAAACAAGCAAACAAAAAACAAACAAGGGGCACCUGGGUGGCUCAGUCGUUAAGGGUCCUCCUUCGGCUCAGAUUGCGGGGCCUGGGAUUGAGCCCCGCAUGGGGAUCCCUGAUCGGCGGGAAGCCUGCUUCUCCCUCUCCCACUCCCCCUGCUUGUGUUCCCUCUCUCACCGUGUCUCUCGCUGUCAAAUAAAUAAAUAAAAUCUUUAAAAACGAAACAAAACAAAACAAACAGAAGUCAUGGGGCAAAAAGAGGAACACGGCAGAAGCCGUGACCUACCCCGGAGCCCCUAGGGCUUGGCCAGCUCCCCACAGCCCUUUGCCAGUCUCCCCUCCAGGCCCCUCCCCGUCUUCCGCUCAGACCCCAGCGUGACAGGAUGUUACAAGGCUCUUUCCGGCUCAGUUUCAGCUGAGGUUUCAAAGCCUCAGAAUGGGGCAGCCAGGGGUUGGGGGGCACCCCCUCCCCAAGCUUGAGAUGCCUAGAGGCAGGCGUAGGCAGCAUUCUUCUUAGGAAGCCAAGCAUGCGUCCCCUGGGGUUUGGGGGGCCAGCCGGCUGGCUUAUUUGGUAUUUUUCAAAGUCUUUAUUCUGUGCCAAGUCACACACACAAAAAGGUGAGUGGCUCUCCAAAGGGCCACGGAGAGUAUGUGGCCGGGCUGAGGGCGGGGAGUCAAGCCUGGGCAGAGACCUGAGCCAGGCCGGGCCAUGACCCCAGUGCUGCCCAUGAUCUUGGCCUGGAGCCUGAGCAGCACACAGUGAGCAAAGAGAGCCAGGCUGGGGGUGAGGCACAGAUUCAGGAGUUCAAAUGGACCCAGUUCCCAGAGACCACACAGGACCCCCAAAUGGGACUUGACUGAGAGGACCCUUGGGGACAUCGGGCACCCCAGCUGACGGUAGCUAGUGGGGCCUAGAGUGAGGGGGGCAUCAGAUCCGGCACCUGGGACAGCAUCAAG